CCUUUUCCUACACGUGUAUAACCUAUGUUUUCCCCUUACUUAACAUGUGUGCUAUCCUCUUGAAGCUUUCUUUCAGAACUACUGAAGAUUUUGAAGAACUACUGAAGAUUUAGAAAAGUAUCAGAUGUAACCCUACAAUUUAACCUCCAGAAUUUCAAAUCGGCUGCCAGUGCUUUAUCAGAUUUGUCGUUCAGGUAUUCAUUAAAUGCAAAGGCAAAGUCCAUUUACAAAGGGCUGAAAUUCCACGAUUUGUAUGCGAGGACGAUGGCCAUGUUCCUAACCCAUCCAUCAUGUACUGCGUUAACACAACUAUAAAGGAUGAAAGUGAGGGGGCAAAGGUUGUUUUCUUCAACGAAGCAAUGGAACAAAUGCUGCAAAAAUCUUGCUACGACAUGGUAGUAAAGGAUGGACACACAGAUCCGGAAAUCAUAGCCGCGGAUAUCUAUAAAAUCAGGGGAAAAACCGCAGUUUAAGACAUCUCAAUGAAGCAAGACUUCUCAAUCAAACAAGACAGCUCAAUGGCCGUAAACAAAGCCUCAUUAACACCAUCCAUUAUCCCACCAACCCCAGAUCCUAAAACAUCCACCAAAAGAAGAACACCGGGGCUUCGCCAGACAAUAAAACAACAGAGAAGCCAGCAAAAAGGUAAAAGGAUAAUGGGGAAGGUACCAUUUUUGCCACGCCAUCCUUGCCAAUUUUCCUGCUGAAAUACUAGCUCCUUCACAAAUGCUUUCUCUUUUGUGACACACACAUGGCUAUAGCGCAAUAUUUUGACAUCAACAACAAGAUUGGAAAGGCCAUCACAUCAACAUAUGAAUUAACGGAGCACAUGUUGACUUCAGCAACAACUCAGACAAACUUUGAAAGCAACAAGCAACAACUCAGACAAACUUUGAAAGCAACAAGCAAGGACUACAACUUUAAAUAUCUUAUAAAUUUUAUCUAAGUUGUAGUAAAGUUGUAGUAGGGAUCCUAAUGUAACCUACUACCUCUACAUGUCUAUAACACAUGUUGGAAUAUUCAUGCAA
Long non-coding RNA from Helianthus annuus (common sunflower), 1028 nucleotides. RefSeq lists it as uncharacterized. NCBI's taxonomy places the organism in Eukaryota, Viridiplantae, Streptophyta, Magnoliopsida, Asterales, Asteraceae. The transcript is spliced from 4 exons. The record is from RefSeq and is a predicted model, not a curated record.